Mandrillus leucophaeus (drill) is the source of this 2216-nucleotide RNA transcript. It is a transcript of the gene named ATP-dependent RNA helicase DDX50-like, with no coding region annotated. The record is from RefSeq and is a predicted model, not a curated record. NCBI's taxonomy places the organism in Eukaryota, Metazoa, Chordata, Mammalia, Primates, Cercopithecidae. The transcript has 3 exons.
AUGCCUGGGAAACUCCUUGGGGGGACAUUAUGGAGCUGGAAAUACCCUUGGAGGAGUCUGAGAGCCAGAAGAAGGAGAGGCAAAAGUGCUGGAGUGACAGAAGGAAGUCAAGGCACCAUUAUGACUCAGAUGAGAAAUCAAAAACAAGAGAAAAUGGUGUUACAGAUGACCUGGAUGUUCCCAAGGCCAAAAAAGAAAAAAAAAAAAAAAAAAACUAAAAUGAAAGAAAAGCUAAAUGGAGACACUGAAGAAGGAUUUUAUAGACUUUCAGAUGAAUUCUCUAAAUCUCAUAAGAAGAAAAGAUCUACCAAAUGGAAAUAUUGAUGAAUAUGAAAAAAAAUCAAAGCGAAUAUCAUCCUUAGAUAGUUCUACUCAUAAAUCAAGUGAUAAUAAACUAGAGGAGACCUUAACACGUGAAUAGGAAGAAGGAGCCUUCUCUUAUUUCUGUAUUUCUGAAGAGACUAUAAAGUUUCUGAAAGGUUGAGGGGUAACAUAUCGCUUUCCUAUUCAAGUUAAGACCUUGUCCUGUAUAUGAAGGAAAAGAUUUAAUAGCUCGAGCAUGGACAGGAACAGGAAAGACUUUUUUUUUUUUGCCAUCCCUUUGAUUGAAAGACUCCAAAGAAAUUAAGAAACAAUUUUUAAAAAGCUGCUCACCAAAGAAAGGUACUUGUUUUGGCUCCAACUAGGGAACUGGCAAACCAAGUAGCCAAAGACUUCAAAGAUAAAACUAGGAAAUUCAGCAUGGCAUGUUUUUAUGGUGGAACACCAUAUCAAAGCCCAAUUAAUCAUAUGCAAAAUGGUAUUGACAUCUUGGUUGGAACCCCUGGUCAUAUGAAGACCGUCUGCAGAGUGGCUGAUUGGAUCUUUCUAAACUGCACCAUGUUGUGCUUGAUGAAGUGGAUCAAAUGUUAGAUUUAGGUUUUGAUGAGCAAGUUGAAUAUGUGAUUCACGAAUCCUACAAAACUGAUUCUGAAGACAAUCCUCAGACUUUACUUUUUUCUGCAACUUGCCCACAGUGGGUAUACAAAGUUGCAAAAAAAAUUACAUGAAAUCCAGAUAUGAACAGGUUGACCUUGUUGGAAAAAUGACUCAAAAGGCUGCAACUACUGUGGAACACUUGGUCAUUCAGUGUCAUUGGUCUCAGAGGCCAGCAGUUACUGGAGAUGUCCUUCAAGUCUACAGUGGGUCUGAAGGGAGGGCUAUUAUUUUCUGUGAGAACAAGAAGAAUGUAACUGAAAUGGCCAUGAAUCCACAUAUAAAACAGAAUGCCCAGUGUUUACAUGGGGACAUUGCACAGUCACAAAGAGAAAUUACACUAAAAGACUUCAGAGAAGAUAGUUUUAAAGUUUUGGUGGCAACCAAUGUGGCUGCCCAUAGUUUGCACAUUCCUGAAGUAGACCUGGUGAUUCAACAUUCUCCUCCUCAGGAAGUUGAGUCCUAUAUCCAUCGCUCUGGAUGCACAGGUAGAGCUGGACAGGGAUUUGUAUAUGUUUUCAUCAACCAAGAGAAAGAGGUCAACUAAGAUAUGUGGAACAAAAAGCAGCAAUUACUUUUAAACGUGUAGGUGUUCCUUCUACAAUGGAUUUGGUUAAAUCUAAAAGCAUGGAUAUCAUCAGGUUUCUGACUUCCGUUUCUUAUGCUGCUGUUGAUUUUUUCUGACCAUCAGCUCAGGGACCGAUAGAAGAGAAAGGGGCGCCGGUGGAUGCAUUGGCUACAACUUUAGCCCACAUUUCUGGUGCAUCAAGCUUUGAACCACGAUCUUUGAUCGCCCUUGAAGACCAUGACUCUGGAAAGCCUAGAGGAAAUACAGGAUGUCACCUGUGCCUGGAAAGAAUGCAGUGUCUCGGAUUACCAGCAUGUGUCACCUGAAAGGAAAUAUAGGUGUUUGCUUUGGUGUUUCUACAACUGAGUCAGAAAGGUUACAGGCAGAGUCGCAUGAUUCCAACUGGAUACUCUCAGUGCCAGGCAAAUUACCUGAAACUGAAGAAUAUUAUGAUGGAAAGAACUCUAAUCCCAGACAGAGGAGUGACUGGUCAAGUGGCUGGUCGGGCAGGUCAGGCGGGUCAGGUGGUCGAUCUGGUGGCUGGUCAGGUAGACAGAGUCCACAAGGGAGUCACUCAGGAGGUUGAAAAGAUGGUAGAAGACGAAGUGGGAAUAGAAAUCGAUCAACAAGUGAGGGCCACAAAUGGAGUUUUGAUAGAGUAUUUGAUAGUUAA